GUAUAAGUUGUUACGAGCACACGGUGGAUGCCUUGGCAUCAGGAGCUGAUGAAGGACGUGGAAAUCUGCGAUAAGCCUCGGGGAGCUGAUAAACGAGCUGUGAUCCGAGGGUCUCCGAAUGGGGUAACCCGGCUGCGUGUUAUGCGUAGUCACUCGUAUCUGAAUUCAUAGGGUGCGAGGAGGAACGUGGGGAAGUGAAACAUCUCAGUACCCAUAGGAAGAGAAAACAACAGUGAUUCCGUGAGUAGUGGCGAGCGAAAGCGGAUGGUGGCUAAACCGGUUGUGUGUGAUACCUGGCGAGGGUUGCAUGAUCGGGGUUGUGGGAUGCGUUGUUCCUGGGGUCGCCACCCUGGGCGCUGUGGCGUGGUGGUAGUCGAACUGGUGGUGAGUGCCAGACCGUAGGGGGUGUGAGUCCCGUAGACGAAACUGUCAUUGUCGUGGUGUGACGUUCUCCCGAGUAGCACGGGGCCCGUGAAAUCUCGUGUGAAUCUGCCAGGACCACCUGGUAAGCCUGAAUACUUCCUGAUGACCGAUAGCGGAUCAGUACCGUGAGGGAAUGGUGAAAAGUACCCCGGGAGGGGAGUGAAAUAGUACCUGAAACCGUGUGCUUACAAGCCGUUGGAGCC
Molecule: ribosomal RNA, 626 nt
Filed under: Kocuria rhizophila
Lineage: Bacteria; Bacillati; Actinomycetota; Actinomycetes; Micrococcales; Micrococcaceae
Description: partial 23S ribosomal RNA
Rfam family: Bacterial large subunit ribosomal RNA
Source: RNAcentral